AACUAUGCGGAGUACAAUUAUCACCCUCAUGACACACGCACUAUUUUCACAGGCGUGAGGAAGGAAGUUACAUAUCAACUAACAAGGAGCAAACAUAUAGCUAUAUUUGCUCAUUGAUUGGACCAUUCUUCCACUUGAUCGAAGGCAAGGGAAGGAAGAAGCACACGGACGGAGGGACAUCAGACGGACAGUAGGUACUUUGACAAGGUCUUGAAAAACCUGAUUGUCUUUUGAGCUUAAAAGUUGUCUCCGCUAGGGUGAUGCGAAGAGCAAUACUGCAAAGAGCAGGAAUGUUAACGGCCAAGGAAAGGGCAUGGUAUCGAAUCGUGGCCUCCGUCCUAAGGGCCACUCAGGUUCUGGUUUAUAUAUCUUGAUAUUUGAGACUUACAGUCUCGGCGCCGCCAUCCAAAUCAUCGUUCGCGUCCUCCAAACCGAUCCUCAGGUCAUGCCGAAACUUGAAAGCAUACCAGCGGGCAAAUGCCGAAACAAAUAAAAGCCAAGUGAUGCGUAUACCAUGCACAGUAACCUAUCCUUUGUUUUUGUUACCUUAUUUCCUUCCCAUCGUCAUCGUAGUAUUAUAGUUCUGCCUCGCAUAUAUCCUUUGACAUUCCCCCGUUCCAAUGACGCGAAAGAAAGGUAAUAUUUUGUCGGGGAGCUCUAAUUUAGGAGUUACUCUACGCUUAUGUAUGAAUAGCAAUCAUUUCUCGG
Molecule: small RNA, 708 nt
Filed under: Cryptococcus neoformans H99
Lineage: Eukaryota; Fungi; Basidiomycota; Tremellomycetes; Tremellales; Cryptococcaceae
Description: Cryptococcus neoformans var. grubii H99 hypothetical RNA
Source: RNAcentral